GGAUGUGCUCGCGGCCUAUCAGUGUGUUGGUGGGGUAAUGGCCUACCAAGGCUUCGACGGGUAGCCGGCCUGAGAGGGUGACCGGCAACACUGGGAUUGAGACACGGCCCAGACUCCUACGGGAGGCAGCAGUGGGGAAUAUUGGACAAUGGGCGGAAGCCUGAUCCAGCAACGCCGCGUGAGGGAUGACGGCCUUCGGGUUGUAAACUUCUUUCAGUAGGGACGAAGCGCAAGUGACGGUACCUACAGAAGAAGCACCGGCCAAUUACGUGCCAGCAGCCGCGGUAAUACGUAGGGUGCGAGCGUUGUCCGGAAUUAUUGGGCGUAAAGGGCUCGUAGGCGGUUUGUCGCGUCGGGAGUGAAAACACUGGGCUUAACUCAGUGCUUGCUUCCGAUACGGGCAGACUAGAGGUAUUCAGGGGAGAACGGAAUUCCUGGUGUAGCGGUGAAAUGCGCAGAUAUCAGGAGGAACACCGGUGGCGAAGGCGGUUCUCUGGGAAUUACCUGACGCUGAGGAGCGAAAGUGUGGGGAGCGAACAGGAUUAGAUACCCUGGUAGUCCACACCGUAAACGUUGGGCGCUAGGUGUGGGGUCCAUUCCACGGAUUCCGUGCCGCAGCUAACGCAUUAAGCGCCCCGCCUGGGGAGUACGGCCGCAAGGCUAAAACUCAAAGGAAUUGACGGGGGCCCGCACAAGCGGCGGAGCAUGCGGAUUAAUUCGAUGCAACGCGAAGAACCUUACCUGGGUUUGACAUACGCCGGAAAGCCGUAGAGAUACGGCCCCUUUUAGUCGGUGUACAGGUGGUGCAUGGCUCUCGUCA
This 820-nucleotide ribosomal RNA is filed under the name Nocardioides sp. V4.BE.54. RNAcentral's name for it is "bacterial SSU rRNA". It matches the Rfam family "Bacterial small subunit ribosomal RNA", at positions 223 to 1057 of the family's 1533-position model. The record is from RNAcentral. Lineage: Bacteria; Bacillati; Actinomycetota; Actinomycetes; Propionibacteriales; Nocardioidaceae.